CUCGUCCUAUCUCAAUACAUGAGAGAAGGUGCUUUGGGAGCACUAGGUCGCAGGUUCGAAUCCUGUCGCCCCGA
This 74-nucleotide transfer RNA is filed under the name Prochlorococcus sp. MIT 0602. RNAcentral's name for it is "tRNA-Pro". The stretch from base 8 to 66 matches the Rfam family "tRNA", at positions 8 to 63 of the family's 71-position model. From Rfam's summary of the family: Transfer RNA (tRNA) molecules are approximately 80 nucleotides in length. The record is from RNAcentral. RNAcentral also lists the same sequence under 1 other name. Lineage: Bacteria; Bacillati; Cyanobacteriota; Cyanophyceae; Synechococcales; Prochlorococcaceae.